CUGGCUUUUGUCCUCACAUAUACUGAUGUUGGAAUGCUACAGAGAUGAUUAGCAUGGCCGCUGCACAAGGAUGACAUGCAAAUUUGUGAAGUACUCCAUAUGUUU
Small nuclear RNA from Dipodomys ordii (Ord's kangaroo rat), 105 nucleotides. Lineage: Eukaryota; Metazoa; Chordata; Mammalia; Rodentia; Heteromyidae. The record is from Ensembl.